This 496-nucleotide ribosomal RNA is filed under the name uncultured bacterium. Its description in RNAcentral is "partial 16S ribosomal RNA". It matches the Rfam family "Bacterial small subunit ribosomal RNA", at positions 30 to 523 of the family's 1533-position model. The record is from RNAcentral.
AUUGAACGCUGGCGGAAUGCUUUACACAUGCAAGUCGAACGGUAGAGGGGGCAACCCCUCGAGAGUGGCGAACGGGUGAGUAAUAUAUCGGAACGUGCCCAGUCGUGGGGGAUAACGUAGCGAAAGUUACGCUAAUACCGCAUACGAUCUAAGGAUGAAAGCGGGGGAUCGCAAGACCUCGCGCGAUCGGAGCGGCCGAUAUCAGAUUAGGUAGUUGGUGGGGUAAAGGCUCACCAAGCCAACGAUCUGUAGCUGGUCUGAGAGGACGACCAGCCAAACUGGAAAUGAGCCACGGUCCAGACUCCUACGGGAGUCAGCAGUGGGGAAUUUUGGACAAUGGACGCAAGUCUGAUCCAGCCAUUCCGCGUGCAGGAUGAAGGCCCUCGGGUUGUAAACUGCUUUUGUACGGAACGAAAAGGUCUCUCUUAAUACGGGGGGCUCAUGACGGUACCGUAAGAAUAAGCACCGGCUAACUACGUGCCAGCCGCCGCGGUAA